GAUGAACGCUGGCGGCGUGCUUAACACAUGCAAGUCGAACGAGAAAUGUAGACGGAAACCUUCGGGCGGAAGCCUUCAUUUCGAGUGGCGGACGGGUGAGUAACGCGUGGGUAACCUGCCUCAUACAGGGGGAUAACAGUUGGAAACGACUGUUAAUACCGCAUAAGACCACAGCAUCGCAUGAUGCGGGGGUAAAAACUCCGGUGGUAUGAGAUGGACCCGCGUUCGAUUAGCCAGUUGGCGGGGUAACGGCCCACCAAAGCGACGAUCGAUAGCCGAUCUGAGAGGAUGACCGGACACAUUGGGACUGAGACACGGCCCAAACUCCUACGGGAGGCAGCAGUGGGGAAUAUUGCACAAUGGGGGAAACCCUGAUGCAGCGACGCCGCGUGAGUGAAGAAGUACUUCGGUAUGUAAAGCUCUAUCAGCAGGGAAGAAAAUGACGGUACCUGAGUAAGAAGCCCCGGCUAACUACGUG
RNAcentral lists this ribosomal RNA (478 nucleotides) under uncultured bacterium. Its description in RNAcentral is "partial 16S ribosomal RNA". It matches the Rfam family "Bacterial small subunit ribosomal RNA", at positions 28 to 507 of the family's 1533-position model. The record is from RNAcentral.